This 448-nucleotide long non-coding RNA is filed under the name Brassica napus (rape). RNAcentral's name for it is "long non-coding RNA (BNAP_LNC006314)". The record is from RNAcentral. Lineage: Eukaryota; Viridiplantae; Streptophyta; Magnoliopsida; Brassicales; Brassicaceae.
CUUCAAAAUCUAAGUUUAUUUUACAAGUUAUUUUCUCAUUUUAUAGACCUUUUUAUCAGAGAUUUAUGGCAUUCUUGCCGAUAUUAUCAGCCUAUCCUCAGCUUUUGAUUUCUUUUCUAUUUCUUGGAUUCAACGUACAAACAACAAUGAUGCUUGUUAAAUGCGUCUGUUGUAACUGCUCUCUCUAGAGGAGCUUGAACCUUUUAGUUUAAUGCAAGUUGUGUUUCAAAAAGAAAUAGACCUUUUUAUCCUUCUCACAACCAUAAACCUUAUCUAAGUGAAAUAUGUUAUGUUCUGUUUCGUGUUUUUCCUAUUCUGUAUCACCCCUUCAACACAAUUUUUUCAAUAAAGGCCAAGAAAUAAACCACAACGAUUUUUCAUAGAUCGAUCAUUCGGAUUCAUCAACAUGACGAAUCCAUUAUCCACUCCAAACCACUAGAUCACACGU